This 4252-nucleotide long non-coding RNA is filed under the name Sus scrofa (pig). RNAcentral describes it as "lncRNA (ENSSSCG00045008703.1)". Lineage: Eukaryota; Metazoa; Chordata; Mammalia; Artiodactyla; Suidae. The record is from RNAcentral.
GAGACCCUGCUACGGAGGGGGCGCGACCGACGUGGACGCGAGGGGUCGGGGGUCGGGGGACACGCGUUCUGCCCCCGCUGCACAUGGACGCGCGCCUGGAGCACGCACAGGGGGCUGAGCAGACAAAGUACUUGGCGUCUGGGUGACUGCACUCUCCCGCGGGGCACCUGCUUGGGACCGGCGCCCCCGCUCGGCCUCACGUGGUCUUUCCCCGCCUGGCCCGCGAGGCGCGGGACGGGGCGGGGCUGGUGACGCGGCGCGGAGACCCCGGGGGCGGGGAGGGCCGGUGCGGGGCGCGCGUUUCCUCCGCGAGCCCGUCAGUGUCGAGGCGCGGAGCCGGAGCCCCCUCAGCCCCGCGCCCGGAAGCGGAGCGAUGCCGAUCGGUCUGGCAGCCCCUCGCGUGCACCACGCCGGAGACAAAGCCAGCGCGUGAGCGGCGCCCUCGGUCCGCGCUCCCGGGUAGGGUGAGCCUCAAAGCAGGAGCGCUGAACCAGGCUACCAUCUGACGACCAUCAGCUACUGCUGCCAGUCUGUCCCCUGCCCAGGCCUGUCACCGUGUCAUCUCUCAGCAGGGGCAGCAGAAUGAAAGAAGGCAUGUCCAAUAACAGCACCGCCAGCAUUUCCCAGGCCCGGAAGGCUGUGGAGCAGCUGAAGAUGGAGGCCUGUAUGGACAGGGUGAAGGUGUCCCAGGCGGCAGCAGACCUCCUGGCCUACUGUGAAGCCCACGUGCGGGAGGACCCUCUCAUCAUCCCGGUGCCUGCGUCAGAAAACCCUUUCCGAGAGAAGAAGUUCUUCUGUACCAUCCUCUGACUCUCCGUUUGUUGUGGAAAUGUCUCCUUUUCUGUCCAUAAAACCCCUGGUAGAGACUGCGCAUGCUCUUAGCUUUAGGGAGCCCCGCCCACACCCAGCCCCGCCCAACCAGGACUGACCGUCCUGUCCCGUCUUUUCAUUGGUUUUCCUCAUUGCGCUCCAUCUCACUUUUUCUUUUCAUUUUCAUUUUAUUUUCAUUAUUAGAAAAGCAAACAGACAUGUUUGUAGCCGGAUAACAAGUGUGCCAAGUAUAAAUAAGUAUGGGCUUAAGGGCUUAAAUUUUUUAAACAUCAGUUCCCCAGUGUACAUACAUCGAGUUUAUACAUUUCAGUGGAUUAUUUACUGAGAAGGGAAAAUAUAUUCAACAAGCCCCCAUUUGCAAUCGCUUUGUCAAAUUAGAGCAUCUAUUGGUAGUUUCCAUCGCUCUUGCUGGAGAAAGCAGUUUUAUAAGUUCUCUAUUUCCUGCUUUUCCCGUUAAAGAAGAAAUAACUCCCAUCAUCAGACAAUUUUCCAAACAUGGGUCUUCCUGGGACCCUGCAGCCCAGACCUUGACAGAGGGCACCCUGUUUCCCACGAUUAUCACUGAUCCCUUUGGAGGUGGUCCUUCCACGAGUGGAGGUGUAGAGGGGAUAUUGGAGGGAGCUUAGCUGUAAACGUCACAACCAUGACACUGUUUACGUGUUCCAUCCAGGCUGGCCGGGGGCACCACCUCUCCUCUCUGUAUGCCACCCUGCCCUGCUCCCUCCUGUGUUGGCUCCUCCUCUGUGGGACUGACAUGAGCCGAAUUGAUGGGGGCCUGUUUGGGGCUCGGUAGUAUGUCCCCCUCCCCCAGAGGCGUGAGUCAAGGGCAGCAGCUCAGCCUGUACCAUCCACAGAUUGGAGCAUUCACACCCAUCCACUUCUUUAAAUCCCCAUGAAUAAAUAAAUACUGUGAGACUAUGUCUGGUCUUAAGAGAGGGAAACUGAGGCACAGAAUGACAGUGUAGUUUCCCCGAGGUUGUAGAUAGUAAGCAGGAAGACUGGGACCUGACUGCAGACACCAGUUCCCAGCCUUGAGCUCCACUGCCUUCCAGGCGUACCUGUUUGCAGGUAGGCAGGUAAACCCACAAACAACCUGAGCCAUGUGCCAUGACACCCCAUCGCUGGGGUCUGCUCCGUGGCACACUUCUCUUCCAGUCUUUGCCAGGAGUAGGCAUGUCGACCGGUAUUCUGGCAGCUUGUGGAAGGUGAUGUGUGACUGCCCCUGUGGGAGGCUGGAUAGAGUUUGAUUUUUCUGAGACAAACUUGCAAGUCCACAGAAAACAAACCCCUCCCACCCCUGAUGAAGGGAAUAAACCAUAGGGGCAGAGAGCGCUCUGUCCAAGUUUGUUCUAUUCUAUUUGUUGGACACUGCCUCCCUCCUGGCUCCGGCAGCGACUUCACCAUGUGCAGCAGGGCAAGUCAUCGUAUCCCUGAAACACUCCAACCUGCAAAUUGCGGAUCAUGGUAACGACUCCUCCUGCCUGUCUGUCUAGGACAGAGGGAGAUGAUACAUAAAUGAAAGCUCUGAUUACCAUUUAAAACAAAUCCAUAUACCAAAUGCUAGGACAUAGCGUAGGGAAGAGAGCCACGGUUCCGUUGGAGGAAUCCUGUAAAAAUUGCCUGCAAAGAGGCAAGUAUAAUUUUCAGAUUAAAUUAUUGACUGGCUACCCUUGUAAAUGGUUUUAGGACAUUUGUAUUCUUGGCUGCUUUUGUUGAAACCCAUUCUUCAUUUCAUGAAAGCUCCCUGAUAAGCCCAGGGUUGUCAGGAAGCUGUGUGCUCAAACUGUAGCAGAAGUCUAUGCUGUCUGUGACAAUACGACUUCAGAUCCUCCUCUGUUUGGGUUUAUGACCAAGAUCUUUUAUUUUGUGAUCCGUGUCAGCAUCAUUAACCUGAUAAGGCAAAGCACAAUCCCUAAAAGCACAUCCGAGAAGCUGAAGAAGUGGGACAGCAUGGAAACCAGCUAAAUCAGGUCAAGGACAAAAUAUGCCCCUCCGCUUAGCCAAACUCCCCCCACUUUGUUUUCACUUUCAGCGUCCCUCCAUAUUCCACCUCCCCUUUUGCCCUCUUUUUCCUUUCUUCCGCUCAUCCUUGCAUCCCUCCCUCAGAUGCUUUUUGUCCUUUGAUUUCUCCUUUUCCUCCCAAACCUGUGGUGUUUUGUGUGACUUGCACCUUCCACGGGUCCCAGAACUCAGUGCCACUCUUAAAGGCAAGGUCAUGCACACGGGUAGCGAGGUAUACUAACGUGUCGAUGAGCCUCCCUGCAACAGUCACUGGGAGCUGAUGAAGUGGGGGUGGCCCUGGAGUGGGGAGUUAUCAUUUGGUGUUUCCAGCUUGGCUGUGUAGCCCCUGACCGCUUUUCUAAAGGGAGAAAUCACCCCUUAUGUACAAGUGUAGUGGGGUGCAGUAUCCACUCCCACUGUGGAUGCUGAAGUGGGGAAAUCUUCCUUGUCUCUCAGAUGUACCCCCUUUUCCAGCACCAGCCAGGCCAGGGAGUGGCCAGUGACCCAGGGUGAACUCCUGGGACUCCCCUGCUUGGGACUGUGAGCUCAGAGCAAACGAUGCAAAAAUGAAGGGAUGCUGAGCUUCCUUUCAGAGAAGCUGCGGUGGUCCAGCAGGGGAUGUGUCUGGGACUGGCAGGCUGCAGGGAUGGUGUGUCCACUGCUAGUAAGGUCCAAGGACGGCAGAUUCCUGGGCAGAGUGUUUCUGCUCCGAGCCUUGGCCCACCCCACUGAGUUGUCUCGGUCCCCACCCAUCUUUUCAGCUCUCCUUUCUAGCUUUCUGUCAAUUCUGUGAGCCUCCAACCUCCCUCCAGUAAAUUUCUCAUUCUUUCAUGAAAUAGCCUGGGUUGAAUGUAUAUAUCAUAUGACCUAAAAUCUUCAUUCCUCGGUGUCUACCCCAAAGAAAUGUGUGUGUACAUUCACCAAAAGAAAGGUGCAAGAUUGUUCAUAGAAGUGCUGUUCACAGUAGCCCCGAACUGGAAAGCACCCUGAUGCCCAUGUUGAAUGGAUAGACAAACCACAGCACAUUGGCACAGUGAGGUUCUCUGCAGCAAGAAGGGAUGUUCCCGUGGCCAGGCGCAGCCCUGUGUGAGCCUCACGAGAGAAGGCAAGUUCACACUAUAUGGCUCCAUUUAUAUCAAGUAUGAAACCCACAGAACUCACCUGUGCUAUUGCAACAGGGACGUGAGUUACUCCUGGGUGGAUGGGAAGCAGAAGGGCACAAGGCCGUUUCUUGGAUAUUCUGGUGCUGGUGGCUGGUUACCCGAGCGUAUCCAGUGUGUAAAUAUUCGUUCUGAUUCCUGAUCUGGUGGCUGGUUACCCGAGAGUGUGCAGGGUAUAAACGUUCUCCAAGCCAUACCGUUUGGGUUUGCACCCUUUUCUGUGUGUAUGUUGUACUUCAAUAAAAAGUUGGUUAUGGGCU